RNAcentral lists this ribosomal RNA (533 nucleotides) under uncultured archaeon. Its description in RNAcentral is "bacterial SSU rRNA". It matches the Rfam family "Archaeal small subunit ribosomal RNA", at positions 345 to 879 of the family's 1478-position model. The record is from RNAcentral.
AACCUUUACAAUGCACGCAAGUGUGAUAAGGGGAUCCUAAGUGCUCAUGCAUUAGUAUGGGCUUUUUUCAAGAGUAAAUAUCUUGGAGAAUAAGUGGUGGGUAAGACUGGUGCCAGCCGCCGCGGUAACACCAGCGCCACAAGUGGCAACCGCGUUUAUUGGGCCUAAAGCGUCCGUAGCCGGUUGAAUAAAUCUUUUGUGAAAUCGUCAGGCUCAACUUGACGGCGUGCAGAAGACACUAUUCAACUCGAGACCGGGAGGAGUCAGAGGUAUUCCUGAGGGAGCGGUAAAAUGUGAUAAUCUCAGGAGGAUCACCUAUGGCGAAGGCAUCUGACCAGAACGGAUCUGACGGUGAGGGACGAAGGCUGGGGGAGCGAUCCGGAUUAGAUACCCGAGUAGUCCCAGCAGUAAACUCUGCUAGCAAGGUGUUGCAUAUUCUUGAGAAUGUGCAGUGUCGAAACGAAGGUGUUAAGCUAGCCGCCUGGGAAGUACGGUCGCAAGACUGAAACUUUAAGGAAUUGGCGGGGGAGCAC